RNAcentral lists this long non-coding RNA (1054 nucleotides) under Anas platyrhynchos platyrhynchos (common mallard). RNAcentral's name for it is "lncRNA (ENSAPLG00000019719.1)". Lineage: Eukaryota; Metazoa; Chordata; Aves; Anseriformes; Anatidae. The record is from RNAcentral.
AUGAACAGGACAGGAGCCUGGGAUGAAGCUGGUGCUGCUCAGACCGUGGGCAGGUUGCCCCAAAGCAGGAUCCUUCCACCUGGCCACGACUCCGAAUUCCUGGCUGCUGUCUGGGCUUCGGUGCAGAGCCCUGUCCCCGAAGACCGGGGCAGCCGUGGGGACCCCAUGGCCAGCGAGGUGCCUCGCGUCGCCAAACACCUGAGGGACAUCGAUGGGAGAUUUCAGAGCUUACGGGAGCUCUUCCGAAAAGGAGAAGUUUUUUCAGGCCCUGUUGAAGCCAGACUGGCAGACCUCCUGCAAGCCAUCUCCUCCUUCCUGAACACGUACCCUGCUUUGACCGGGGAUGCCAUCCAGCCCGCCGUAGCGACCCUAAUCACCAAAAUCCACGGUCUCGACAGUCAAGAACGGGUCCCUGAAAACAAGAAGCGAUACAGUGAGAUAUUCCGGAGCCUGGAUGACUUGGAGAUCUCCAUCGGCAACGCGACAGUUGAUUUGUUCAUUGGUGAUGCUGACGGCACUGACGACACAGACCUGUCUGCAGAAAGAGAGAUCGUUCCGCUGAAUGAAAGUUUCUGCAAGAGCAAAAGCAGUUCAGAAAAACAAGUGCACACAGACAUGACAGGUAAGACCACAAAUUAACACGAUUCUGUGAAUAUUUCAUCAAUUAAUGUCUUCUUAGGAAGGUGAUCGUGAGGUCCUGACUUCCAAAUACUGAGACCCCAGUCUCAAAAUGUUUUAGGCACAGUGAAGAUCUUUCUUUGAAGCACUUUUGUUGCCCACUGGGAUGAUUCUCUUUGGGUCUGUGCUUGUCACUGGCAUCAUAAAACGCGACACUAAAUUGUUUUUUUAUAUGAAGUCCCCACAAAGGAAAAAACAAAAAAAAAAAAAAGGAGAUUUUCUAAGCUGCUUUCUCUCAGAUUUCAACUUAAAAUGUCAGGGAAAGACCUCUUUUUAUGGCUGUUAUCUGGGUAUUCAGAGCACCAACUCCAAUUUUUGCCACUCCUGGGGGAGCCUCUGUCCAUCAGCUAGAGCCACGCUGAAUCUGGAUUUUUUU